Molecule: ribosomal RNA, 458 nt
Filed under: uncultured bacterium
Lineage: Bacteria
Description: bacterial SSU rRNA
Rfam family: Bacterial small subunit ribosomal RNA
Source: RNAcentral
GAAUUCAACUCCUACGGGAGGCAGCAGUGGGGAAUAUUGGACAAUGGGCGCAAGCCUGAUCCAGCCAUGCCGCGUGAGUGAAGAAGGCCUUCGGGUUGUAAAGCUCUUUCAGAGGUGACGAUGAUGACGGUAACCUCAGAAGAAGCCCCGGCUAACUUCGUGCCAGCAGCCGCGGUAAUACGAAGGGGGCUAGCGUUGUUCGGAAUUACUGGGCGUAAAGCGCGCGUAGGCGGUGUGCAUAGUCAGGGGUGAAAUCCCGGGGCUCAACCUCGGAAUUGCCUUUGAUACUGGCACGCUUGAAUCCGUGAGAGGGUGGUGGAAUGGCCAGUGUAGAGGUGAAAUUCGUAGAUAUUGGCCGGAACACCAGUGGCGAAGGCGGCCACCUGGCGCGGUAUUGACGCUGAGGCGCGAAAGCGUGGGGAGCAAACAGGAUUAGAUACCCUAGUAGUCCAGGCGUU